UAUGCAUACGCAGCUACCAUGCAGUCGAGCGGUAGAGAGAAGCUUGCUUCUCUUGAGAGCGGCGGACGGGUGAGUAAUGCCUAGGAAUCUGCCUGGUAGUGGGGGAUAACGUUCGGAAACGGACGCUAAUACCGCAUACGUCCUACGGGAGAAAGCAGGGGACCUUCGGGCCUUGCGCUAUCAGAUGAGCCUAGGUCGGAUUAGCUAGUUGGUGAGGUAAUGGCUCACCAAGGCGACGAUCCGUAACUGGUCUGAGAGGAUGAUCAGUCACACUGGAACUGAGACACGGUCCAGACUCCUACGGGAGGCAGCAGUGGGGAAUAUUGGACAAUGGGCGAAAGCCUGAUCCAGCCAUGCCGCGUGUGUGAAGAAGGUCUUCGGAUUGUAAAGCACUUUAAGUUGGGAGGAAGGGCAGUUACCUAAUACGUGAUUGUUUUGACGUUACCGACAGAAUAAGCACCGGCUAACUCUGUGCCAGCAGCCGCGGUAAUACAGAGGGUGCAAGCGUUAAUCGGAAUUACUGGGCGUAAAGCGCGCGUAGGUGGUUAGUUAAGUUGGAUGUGAAAUCCCCGGGCUCAACCUGGGAACUGCAUUCAAAACUGACUGACUAGAGUAUGGUAGAGGGUGGUGGAAUUUCCUGUGUAGCGGUGAAAUGCGUAGAUAUAGGAAGGAACACCAGUGGCGAAGGCGACCACCUGGACUGAUACUGACACUGAGGUGCGAAAGCGUGGGGAGCAAACAGGAUUAGAUACCCUGGUAGUCCACGCCGUAAACGAUGUCAACUAGCCGUUGGGAGCCUUGAGCUCUUAGUGGCGCAGCUAACGCAUUAAGUUGACCGCCUGGGGAGUACGGCCGCAAGGUUAAAACUCAAAUGAAUUGACGGGGGCCCGCACAAGCGGUGGAGCAUGGUGGUUUAAUUCGAAGCAACGCGAAGAACCUUACCAGGCCUUGAACAUCCAAUGAACUUUCUAGAAGAUGGAUGUGCCUUCGGGAACAUGAGAACAGGUGCUGCAUGCUGUCGUCAGCUCGUGUCGUGAGAUGUGAUAAGUCCGUAACGAGCGCAACCCUUGUCUUAGUACCAGCACGUAUGGUGGUACUCUAGGAACUGCGUGACAACGAGAGUGGGAUGACGUCAGUCAUCAUGUCCUACGGCUGC
RNAcentral lists this ribosomal RNA (1156 nucleotides) under Pseudomonas sp. RNAcentral's name for it is "bacterial SSU rRNA". It matches the Rfam family "Bacterial small subunit ribosomal RNA", at positions 43 to 1211 of the family's 1533-position model. The record is from RNAcentral. Lineage: Bacteria; Pseudomonadati; Pseudomonadota; Gammaproteobacteria; Pseudomonadales; Pseudomonadaceae.